UACGAAGGGGGCUAGCGUUGCUCGGAAUCACUGGGCGUAAAGCGCACGUAGGCGGCUUUUUAAGUCAGGGGUGAAAUCCUGGAGCUCAACUCCAGAACUGCCUUUGAUACUGAGAAGCUUGAGUCCGGGAGAGGUGAGUGGAACUGCAAGUGUAGAGGUGAAAUUCGUAGAUAUUCGCAAGAACACCAGUGGCGAAGGCGGCUCACUGGCCCGGUACUGACGCUGAGGUGCGAAAGCGUGGGGAGCAAACAGG
This 253-nucleotide ribosomal RNA is filed under the name uncultured bacterium. RNAcentral's name for it is "partial 16S ribosomal RNA". It matches the Rfam family "Bacterial small subunit ribosomal RNA", at positions 524 to 776 of the family's 1533-position model. The record is from RNAcentral.